This 497-nucleotide ribosomal RNA is filed under the name uncultured bacterium. Its description in RNAcentral is "partial 16S ribosomal RNA". It matches the Rfam family "Bacterial small subunit ribosomal RNA", at positions 28 to 507 of the family's 1533-position model. The record is from RNAcentral.
GAUGAACGCUGGCGGCGUGCCUAAUACAUGCAAGUCGAGCGAACGGACGAGAAGCUUGCUUCUUUGAUGUUAGCGGCGGACGGGUGAGUAACACGUGGAUAACCUACCUAUAAGACUGGGAUAACUUCGGGAAACCGUAGCUAAUACCGGAUAAUAUUUUGAACCGCAUGGUUCAAAAGUGAAAGACGGUCUUGCUGUCUCUUAUAGAUGGAUCCGCGCUGCAUUAGCUAGUUGGUAAGGUAACGGCUUACCAAGGCAACGAUGCAUAGCCGACCUGAGAGGGUGAUCGGCCACACUGGAACUGAGACACGGUCCAGACUCCUACGGGAGGCAGCAGUAGGGAAUCUUCCGCAAUGGGCGAAAGCCUGACGGAGCAGCGCCGCGUGAGUGAUGAAGGUCUUCGGAUCGUAAAACUCUGUUAUUAGGGAAGAACAGAUGUGUAAGUAACUGUGCACAUCUUGACGGUACCUAAUCAGAAAGCCACGGCUAACUACGUG